This 513-nucleotide ribosomal RNA is filed under the name Stutzerimonas stutzeri. RNAcentral describes it as "bacterial SSU rRNA". It matches the Rfam family "Bacterial small subunit ribosomal RNA", at positions 11 to 519 of the family's 1533-position model. Lineage: Bacteria; Pseudomonadati; Pseudomonadota; Gammaproteobacteria; Pseudomonadales; Pseudomonadaceae. The record is from RNAcentral.
GUUUGAUCCUGGCUCAGAUUGAACGCUGGCGGCAGGCCUAACACAUGCAAGUCGAGCGGAUGAGUGGAGCUUGCUCCAUGAUUCAGCGGCGGACGGGUGAGUAAUGCCUAGGAAUCUGCCUGGUAGUGGGGGACAACGUUUCGAAAGGAACGCUAAUACCGCAUACGUCCUACGGGAGAAAGUGGGGGAUCUUCGGACCUCACGCUAUCAGAUGAGCCUAGGUCGGAUUAGCUAGUUGGUGAGGUAAAGGCUCACCAAGGCGACGAUCCGUAACUGGUCUGAGAGGAUGAUCAGUCACACUGGAACUGAGACACGGUCCAGACUCCUACGGGAGGCAGCAGUGGGGAAUAUUGGACAAUGGGCGAAAGCCUGAUCCAGCCAUGCCGCGUGUGUGAAGAAGGUCUUCGGAUUGUAAAGCACUUUAAGUUGGGAGGAAGGGCAGUAAGUUAAUACCUUGCUGUUUUGACGUUACCAACAGAAUAAGCACCGGCUAACUUCGUGCCAGCAGCCGCG